GCAUGACCUUCUUCAAAAACGGUCUUACACAAAAACACGCUCCCCGUUUUGGCGAUUUAGGGUUUGCUUUUCUGUGCGGAAAUGGCUGAUUCUCCUGGAAAAAGGUAUUCGCGCUCUCCUUCUCCUUGGGAGGAAAAGGCAAGAUCUAGAUCUAGGUCAAGGUCUAGAUCAUGGUCAAGGCCUAGAGGAAGAUCCAGGUCCAGAUCAAGGUCGAGAAGUCAUGGGAGGGAUGAACCAUCUAAUCCUGGUGUCACACUUUAUGUGACUGGUUUAUCUACAAGGGUGACACAAAGGGACCUUGAGGAGCAUUUCUCAAAGGAGGCAAAGGUGAAAUCAGUUUUCCUGGUUGUGGAGCCGCGUUCCCGCAUCUCUCGUGGUUUUGCUUUUGUAACGAUGGAUAGUCUUGAGGGUGCUGAGCGUUGCAUUAAGCACCUAAAUCAGUCUGUCCUUGAAGGCCGCUACAUAACAGUGGAGAAGUCUCGGAGGAAACGCCCGAGGACUCCAACGCCUGGUCACUAUCUAGGGCUUAAGAACGCAAGGGGUGAUGGUUUUCGUGGUGACCGAGGUGACCGUGGUAGGUAUCGCGGCCGUGAUGACUACGGGCACAGAAGAUCUCCAAGGCGUUCACCUUAUCGAGGUGGACGAGAUUAUUCUCCUAGGCGCUCACCUUAUGGGGGAAGGUCAAGAAGGGAACGAUCCAGGUCAUAUUCCCCUUAUGAAAGGAACUAUGCUCGUGGUGGUAGAUAGGAGGACGUCGACAAAGCAUCUGGUUACUGGUACCCCAAUUACAAGGGAAAACUGUUUGUAAGGAUCUUUAUGCGUUUGGUUGGACUAGAUUUAGGUCUUAUGCUACCAAUCAACGAAUGUAUGUGUGCUGUAGUGCCUGAUAUGCUCGCAUCUAGCUGAUUGUUUAAAUUAUACUGUUGUUUAUGUCAAGUAUUAUUUGUGUUUUGCAAUGUCGUUUUCUUGGUUAUGUGUGCCAGAGCCUUCUUUCUUAUUCAUGAUAUUGUGAUUUCCUUC
Molecule: RNA transcript, 1020 nt
Organism: Nicotiana attenuata
Lineage: Eukaryota; Viridiplantae; Streptophyta; Magnoliopsida; Solanales; Solanaceae
Gene name: serine/arginine-rich splicing factor SR45a-like
Exons: 7
Source: RefSeq, a predicted model, not a curated record